This is a long non-coding RNA of Cuculus canorus (common cuckoo), 557 nucleotides long. RefSeq lists it as uncharacterized. The record is from RefSeq and is a predicted model, not a curated record. The transcript is spliced from 3 exons. Lineage: Eukaryota; Metazoa; Chordata; Aves; Cuculiformes; Cuculidae.
UUUCUGGUGGCCUGAGUAUUACUAAUUUAAAAAGCACUAUUUUAAUUUUAGUGAUGUGCUCUCAGGUUGUACCACAGAGCAGAACGCAAGCUCUACUAACCUGGUCUGAUUGUAGGGAGGUGCUGGAUGCCCUUGUGGUCUUUUCAUCCAUUUUUUAGGGAACUGCUGGUGUUUUUUGGAGUGCUCUCUAAUGUGGCUCUGGGGAUAGGCUGGCUCCCAGCAUGGCCAGGAUUGCAGAGGACACGCUCUCCUAGACAGCCAUCAGCACAGCCACGCUUUCUUCCAGCCCCGGCUGGCGUCAAUGCCUGCUUCCCCCCGCAAAGCACUUUUUACACCACCCGAAUCUACAGACAAGGAGUAAACAGUCAUUGAUGAGGACGCCUCCAUGCACUCCACAGGGGCAAUUACCCUGUUGCCUCUAUCACCAACGCUGCGUUAGGACCAGCCACAUUCAGGCAAUGUGUCACUUACCUCAAAAGACCUGAUGGACUUUCACAGAAGUACCUUACAGGACAAGGGUACAGCAUCCAGGUGAAACAGCUAGAGGAACUGGGACA